ACUCCUACGGGAGGCAGCAGUGGGGAAUAUUGCGCAAUGGGCGAAAGCCUGACGCAGCGACGCCGCGUGGGGGAUGACGGCCUUCGGGUUGUAAACCUCUUUCAGCAGGGACGAAGCGAAAGUGACGGUACCUGCAGAAGAAGCACCGGCCAACUACGUGCCAGCAGCCGCGGUAAU
RNAcentral lists this ribosomal RNA (177 nucleotides) under uncultured bacterium. Its description in RNAcentral is "partial 16S ribosomal RNA". It matches the Rfam family "Bacterial small subunit ribosomal RNA", at positions 335 to 524 of the family's 1533-position model. The record is from RNAcentral.